UUCGUGCUUUUAGGUCAAAGAGAACAAAGUAGAAAGCAUCAAGAAGGACAAGAUAGCUACAGAGAAUUUGCUGCAAGAAACAAAUGAAAAACACUAAGCAGAGCUUGCAGCUCAAAAAGAAUUCUAUACAAAUGCCCUAAAUGCAGCGAAGGAGGCAGAAGCACUAGCAGAGGAGUGUGCCAACAAUGAAGCCAGAACUGUAUUGGAGAGUUGUUUAGGACAGGCUGAAGAACGUGAAGCCAUGCUAGUACAGACACUUGACGAAUUACGGCAAACCUUAAGCAGAAAGGAGCAACAGGCAGUUUUUAGAGAAGACAUGCUUUGCAGGAACAUAGAAGAUCUUCAAAAACGUUAUCAAGUGCGCUGAGCUUGUGCUGACUAUAUAGAUAUUAAAACCUUUCCUUAUACAUUUUCUUUCAGAAAUUUGUUUCAAGCAGUUCAUAGCUUGUUUUCUAGGCAAGUGAGCGUUGUUUUCCAAUAUUGUUGUUACAGUCUGAGAGGGUUUCGUUUUUUCUUUUCACUUUUUAAUACUGAGUGAGCAGGAUUAAUGUAGCAUAGACAUCCAAACGGGUUUUCACUUGGAAUAAUAUUUUCUGCUUCAGUAUAGUUAAUCAAUGAUAU
Molecule: non-coding RNA, 621 nt
Organism: Theobroma cacao (cacao)
Lineage: Eukaryota; Viridiplantae; Streptophyta; Magnoliopsida; Malvales; Malvaceae
Source: RefSeq, a predicted model, not a curated record